UGGUGGGAUACUACCCUAGCUGUGUUGGCUUUCUAACCCGCACCACUUAUCGUGGUGGGAGACAGUGUCAGGCGGGCAGUUUGACUGGGGCGGUCGCCUCCUAAAAGGGAACGGAGGCGCUCAAAGGGUCCCUCAGAAUGGUUGGAAAUCAUUCAUAGAGUGUAAAGGCAUAAGGGAGCUUGACUGCGAGACCUACAAGUCGAGCAGGGUCGAAAGACGGACUUAGUGAUCCGGUG
RNAcentral lists this ribosomal RNA (236 nucleotides) under Staphylococcus aureus. Its description in RNAcentral is "partial 23S ribosomal RNA". It matches the Rfam family "Bacterial large subunit ribosomal RNA", at positions 2190 to 2425 of the family's 2925-position model. Lineage: Bacteria; Bacillati; Bacillota; Bacilli; Caryophanales; Staphylococcaceae. The record is from RNAcentral.